UGAAUACCUCUACUUUCUUACCACGUAUU
This 29-nucleotide small RNA is filed under the name Bombyx mori (domestic silkworm). RNAcentral's name for it is "ovarian small RNA-31063". The record is from RNAcentral. Lineage: Eukaryota; Metazoa; Arthropoda; Insecta; Lepidoptera; Bombycidae.